This 74-nucleotide transfer RNA is filed under the name Imasa heleensis. RNAcentral describes it as "tRNA-Phe". It matches the Rfam family "tRNA". From Rfam's summary of the family: Transfer RNA (tRNA) molecules are approximately 80 nucleotides in length. Their secondary structure includes four short double-helical elements and three loops (D, anti-codon, and T loops). The record is from RNAcentral. Lineage: Eukaryota; Malawimonada; Malawimonadea; Malawimonadida; Imasidae.
GUUUAGAUAGCUCAGUUGGUUAGAGCGUAAGGCUGAAAACCUUAAGGUCGGUGGUUCAAACCCACUUCUAGACA